CCUACGGGAGGCAGCAGUGGGGAAUUUUGGACAAUGGGCGAAAGCCUGAUCCAGCAAUGCCGCGUGAGUGAAGAAGGCCUUCGGGUUGUAAAGCUCUUUUGUCAGGGAAGAAACGGUGAGAGCUAAUAUCUUUUGCUAAUGACGGUACCUGAAGAAUAAGCACCGGCUAACUACGUGCCAGCAGCCGCGGUAAUACGUAGGGUGCAAGCGUUAAUCGGAAUUACUGGGCGUAAAGCGUGCGCAGGCGGUUUUGUAAGUCUGAUGUGAAAUCCCCGGGCUCAACCUGGGAAUUGCAUUGGAGACUGCAAGGCUAGAAUCUGGCAGAGGGGGGUAGAAUUCCACGUGUAGCAGUGAAAUGCGUAGAUAUGUGGAGGAACACCGAUGGCGAAGGCAGCCCCCUGGGUCAAGAUUGACGCUCAUGCACGAAAGCGUGGGGAGCAAACAGGAUUAGAUACCCUGGUAGUCCACGCCCUAAACGAUGUCUACUAGUUGUCGGGUCUUAAUUGACUUGGUAACGCAGCUAACGCGUGAAGUAGACCGCCUGGGGGAGGUACGGUCGCGAGAAGUUAAAACGUUAAAAGUAAGUUAGUACGGCGUGAGACGUAGACCGACGGACGACGACGAGGGAGGAGG
Molecule: ribosomal RNA, 633 nt
Filed under: uncultured bacterium
Lineage: Bacteria
Description: bacterial SSU rRNA
Rfam family: Bacterial small subunit ribosomal RNA (bases 1-542)
Source: RNAcentral